RNAcentral lists this ribosomal RNA (498 nucleotides) under uncultured bacterium. Its description in RNAcentral is "bacterial SSU rRNA". It matches the Rfam family "Bacterial small subunit ribosomal RNA", at positions 9 to 507 of the family's 1533-position model. The record is from RNAcentral.
CGAGUUUGAUCCUGGCUCAGAUUGAACGCUGGCGGCAGGCCUAACACAUGCAAGUCGAGCGGAAGGUUCUUCGGAACCGAGAGCGGCGGACGGGUGAGGAUAGCGUGGGAAUCUGCCUGUAGAUGGGGGAUAGCCCGGAGAAAUCCGGAUUAAUACCGCAUAAUACCUGAGGGUUAAAGUGGAGGAUCGCAAGACUUCACGUCUACAGAUGAGCCCACGUCAGAUUAGCUAGUUGGUAGGGUAAAGGCCUACCAAGGCGACGAUCUGUAGCUGGCCUGAGAGGGUGGCCAGCCACACUGGAACUGAGACACGGUCCAGACUCCUACGGGAGGCAGCAGUGGGGAAUAUUGGACAAUGGGCGCAAGCCUGAUCCAGCCAUGCCGCGUGUGUGAAGAAGGCCUUCGGGUUGUAAAGCACUUUAAGUUGGGAGGAAGGUUCGAUGGAUAAUACCCAUCGGAAUUGACGUUACCAACAGAAUAAGCACCGGCUAAUUCCGUG